This 5145-nucleotide long non-coding RNA is filed under the name Manihot esculenta (cassava). Its description in RNAcentral is "long non-coding RNA (MESC_LNC003834)". The record is from RNAcentral. Lineage: Eukaryota; Viridiplantae; Streptophyta; Magnoliopsida; Malpighiales; Euphorbiaceae.
GAAGUCAAGUCAUAUGUAUGUAAUAGCUAGAGUAUGUGGACAUGACAUAUGAUAAGAAUGUAAUGUAAAGUUUGAACAGUUAUGUUUAUGUAACUAUGUUAUUGAGGAUAGAUUUGUGCUUGACCAUAGUAUAUGUUAAUCCCUUGGUAUGUACAUGAUCUUAUUAUAUGAUGUGUAUGUGAACCAACUCAACACAGAUUUUAUAUUGCCAUUGAGGCUUUGAUGAAAUCCCACAGAGGGAUUAAUGUUUAUGUAUAUGAUGAAUAAAGUGCAUGCACAGGUUGAGUUUGGUGUAUGAAGAAAAAGAAAAGUUUUAAUUCUUAAGUAUGUUUGUUGAUCAUGUAUGGGAUUAAACAGGUAUACAGGAUGUAUGUAGGCUUGCUACGGGUCCCGGCGGCCUUAAGCCGAUCUGGAUCCUAGUGCCGGUAACGGGUCGGUUUUCCGGGUCGUUACACCUGCAGCAUUCAUGGAUCUCAUGAACAGAGUGUUUAGCCAGUACCUGGAUCACUUCGUUAUUGUCUUCAUAGAUGAUAUCUUGGUGUAUUCCAGGAAUGCAGAGGAGCAUGCCCAUCAUCUGAGGUUGGUUCUACAGACCUUGAGGGAACAUGGCUUGUAUGCCAAGUUCUCCAAGUGUGAGUUCUGGCUGAGGAGCAUCUCAUUCUUGGGGCAUGUAGUGUCAGAAAAUGGAAUAGAGGUGGUCCCCAAGAAGGUAGAAGCUGUGGCUAACUGGCCUAGACCCACUUCAGUGACAGAAAUCAGGAGUUUCUUGGGUUUGGCAGGUUACUAUAGGAGGUUCGUUCAGGACUUCUCAAAGAUUGCAGCUCCUCUGACCAGGUUAACCAGGAAGAAUCCAAAGUUUGUGUGGACCGACCAGUGCGAAGAGAGUUUUGAAGAGCUUAAGAAGAGGUUGACUUCAGCACCAGUGUUAGCUCUGCCAUCUAGUGAUGAAGACUUUACAGUCUUUUGUGAUGCGUCCCAUGUGGGACUGGGUUGUGUACUAAUGCAGAAUGAGAGGGUGAUUGCUUAUGCUUCUAGACAGCUGAAGAAGCAUGAGUUAAAUUACCCCACGCAUGACCUAGAGAUGGCAGCAGUAAUCUUUGCACUCAAGAUGUGGAGGCACUAUCUCUAUGGGGUAAAAUGUGAGAUCUUUACAGAUCAUAAGAGCCUGCAGUACAUCCUGAGUCAAAGAGAUUUGAACUUGAGACAAAGAAGGUGGGUAGAGCUGCUGAGUGACUAUGAUUGCAGGAUUCAGUAUCAUCCGGGUAAGGCAAAUGUCGUGGCAGACGCCCUAAGCCGGAAGUCACUAGGCAGUCUAUCCCACAUCACGGCAGAGAGGAGACCAGUGGUGAAGGAGUUUUACAAGCUCAUUGAUGAAGGUCUACAGUUGGAGUUGGCUGGUACAGGUGCUUUAGUGGCCCAGAUGAGAGUGACACCUGUGUUUCUGGAGCAAGUGGCUCAGAAACAGCAUGAGGACCCAGAGUUAGUGAAGAUUGCCAGGACUGUUCAGUCAGGCAAGGAUAGUGAGUUCAGAUUUGACAGUAAGGGGAUCCUCCGCUAUGGGAGUCGAUUGUGUGUACUAGAUGACAUAGGGCUAAAAGGAGACAUUAUGAGGGAGGCUCAUAAUGCAAGAUACAACAUUCACCCUGGAGCCACCAAGAUGUAUCAAGAUCUGAAGAAAGUUUAUUGGUGGCCAGCAAUGAAGAAAGAAGUGGUACAGUUUGUGUCAGCCUGCGAAGUGUGUCAGAGGGUGAAGCUGGAACAUCAGAAGCCGGCUGGAAUGCUUAACCCGCUACCUAUUCCAGAGUGGAAAUGGGAGAAUAUAGCUAUGGACUUCGUAGUGGGGUUACCGGCGAUGUCCAACAGAUUGGACUCCAUAUGGGUGAUUGUGGAUAGACUCACCAAAUCUGCUCACUUCAUCCCUGUCAGGAGUGGCUAUUCUAUGGACAAGUUGGCGCAGGUGUAUGUUGAUGAGAUCGUCAGGCUGCAUGGGGUUCCUGUGUCAAUAGUGUCUGAUAGAGGGCCCCAGUUCACCUCUAGGUUUUGGCGGAGUCUGCAGAAUGCUAUGGGUACCAGGUUAGAUUUUAACACUGCUUUCCAUCCACAGACGGACGGACAGUCAGAGAGGACCAUCCAGACAAUAGAAGAUAUGCUCAGAAUGUGUGUGCUAGAUUUUGGCGAUUCUUGGAGGCAACAUCUACCUUUGGUGGAGUUUGCCUACAAUAACAGCCAUCAUGCUAGCAUCGGGAUGGCUCCAUAUGAAGCUUUGUAUGGGAGGAAGUGCAGAUCACCUGUUUGCUGGGAGGAAGUUGGAGAGAAGGCCUUGGCAGGGCCUGAGUUAGUAGAGAUCACCAGCAAGGUGGUACCCAUAAUCAGAGAAAGGAUCAAGACUGCUGCAAGCAGACAGAAGAGUUAUGCAGACAUCCGCAGACGGCAAGUAGAGUUUUAGGAGGGGGAUCUGGUAUUGCUCAAGGUGUCUCCAAUGAAAGGAGUGGUUCGCUUUGGGAAGAAAGGUAAACUAGCUCCGCGAUACAUCGGACCCUUUGAAGUCUUGCAGAAGAUUGGGAAUGUGUCGUACAAGCUAGAUUUGCCUGCUUCAAUGGCAAGAAUCUAUCCGGUUUUCCAUGUUUCCAUGUUAAGAAAGUUUGUGUCAGAUCCGGGCAAGGUUCUUAGUGAGCCUGAUGUGGAGAUCCAAGAAGAUCUCACUUAUAUUGAGCAGCCAGUACGGAUCAUAGACACCCAGAUCAGGAAGUUGAGGAACAAGGAAAUCCCGAUCGUGAAAGUCCUGUGGAACCACCACAAUAUGGAAGAAUGCACUUGGGAGACACGAGAGUCCAUGCUCCAGCAAUACCCUUAUCUUUUCUGAGGUUAGUUCCUUGUGAGUUUUAUGUGCUUUGUAUGUAUGAUAUGUGUAUGCCAUGCUAUGUGCUAGUUGAGGAACAUUCGGGGACGAAUGUUCUUAAGGUGGGGAGAAUGUAAUACCCGGCUAGACUCCGGUAUCGAAAUUCCUACCGUCCGGUGGAAUCUCGGAUGCCGGAGACCUCUAGAAGGGUAAAACCAUAUUUUCAUUAAAUGUUUUGAUGUAUUUUAUGGUUUUUAAUAAAAAUAAAUCCAAGUUUUGAGUGAAGAGGGCUUUAGAGACUUUGCCAGGUUCGGCCGCCGAAAGUCAUCUUCGGCCGCCGAACAUGGGGAGGUUUUGGGAGCGCUUUUGGCCUCCGAAAGCCUUGUUUGAAUUAGCCAAGGUUUGGCCGCCGAACCUUAUGUUCGGCCGCCGAACUUGCAUGCGUUGUGGGGGCACGUUAGGCCGCCGAAAGGUGGUAAGGACAGCCCUAUAAAAGGACCCCAUGGCCGAAACGGGCAAGCUUUUCUUCCCGUUUUCGGCCAGGGUGAGUUCUCCACCGCCCCUCCUCUGUUUUGAGCUUCUCCCUUCGAGUUUUCAUGUUUUUCUUAUGAGUUUUCACCUAGUUUUGAAGAUUUUCGAGUUUAAAGCAAGUUUUGGAGCUUUGAGGUUCAAGAACUCAAAUCUCUCCCAUCUUCGAGCUAGGGUCGUUUUCCUCUCGAUCUUCAAGAGGUACGGGCUGAUCUUGAGCUCACUAUAUGUUUUUAACAAGUUUUAAGUUGAUUCUUGAAGUAGAAAUGCAUGUGUAGGGUUUUAUGAGUUUUUGGGUUUAUGUUGGUUUAUGGGCAAUGUAUGUUGGAUUUGUGUUGUUUGAUGUGUUGUAAAUGGGGUUUUAGAUGGUUUGAAGCCCCUAGGAGCUGGUAUGCUUGAGUAUGUGUGUUGUAGAAUAGGAUUAUGCAUGUUUGUAAGGUUUGGGAGGCAUUGGAGGCAAGAGGAGCCAAGUUUCUGCCCUUUGGCAGAAACCAGGUUCGGCAGCCGAAGGACUUUCAGCCGCCGAACAUGGCUGGGGAGGCAAGCCUUUCGGCUGCCGAAGCCUGCCCCCGAAAGGAGACUUUCGUCUCUGUCUGGGAGUUUCAGCCGCCGAAAGUGCCGCCGAACAUGCAUGAGUUCGCCUCUGUCUGGGAGUUUCGGCCGCCGAAGGUGCCGCCGAACCUGCCUGACUUUCCGCUCUGGAGGGACUUUCGGCCGCCGAACCUGCCGCCGAAAGUGCCCUGUUCAGCCUUCCUUUGCAUUUUUUUGCAUGAUUGUUUUGAGGUGUUUUAGGGGGGUUUUUGGGGGAUGUUUUUAGAGUUAUGAUUCUAGUUGUUUGGUCCCUCAUUUGAGUCCACCUGUGUAGGUUCGGACCCUAGGAACCGAGGACCCCAGCAGUGAGUUAGCUGCUUCAGUCAUUGUCAGAGCUAGCCAAGAGGUGAGUAGAAUAAACCUUUACGAUUUAAAGCAAAUAAAUUAUAAAGUUUUGAGCAUGUUCAUGCAUCAUGAAUGCCAUGUGAUGAAUUAGGUUGUUUGCAUUAGAAUUCACGAAUAUGUUGCAUUGCAUUUAUGAUGUUGAUGUGGAUUGGUUAUUGGAUGAUCCUUUAGUGCUCAUAUGAUAUGAUGAUGUUACGGCAUGAUAUAGUAUGGAAGUCCAGGUUGUACCCAUUCUACGUCCCUGGCACUAUGUAAGAGAAAGUCCAGGUUGUACCCCAUUCUACGUCCCUGGCACAGUUGGACUAUAUGAUAUGUUAUGUUAAGAGGAAGACCGGUUGUACCCAUUCUAUGUCCCGGCACAGUUGGACUAUGUAGAGGACUAUUGGUGACAAUACCAUCCGAGAUGUGAUUUGUUGUGAUGUGUUGCAUUACAUGAUGGCAUGAGAUUUCAAAUGUUGUUUUUCAUUAUUCUGCUCACUGGGCUCUAGUAGCUCACCCCUUUCCCUAAUCCUCCAGGUUUGCAGGUACGGGCUAGGCAGAGAAGUCAAGAUGGAUGAAGUUUUGUGUAUGUAAUAGUUAGAAUGUGGACAUGAUAAAUUGUAAAUGGUUGUAAUGUAAAGUUUGAAUAGUCAUGCUAUGCAUAAUGAUAUUGAGGAUUAGAAGUUGUGCUUGACCCUAUGGGUAUUGUUAUCCCUUUUAUUACAUGAUCUCAAAUGUUUAUGAUGUAGAUGUAAACCAACUCAACACAUGUAUGUCACCCAUUGGGGCAUUGAUGAGAUCCCAAAGAGGGAUCAAUAUUUAUAGUUAUGUUUAUGUUCAGUGCAUGCACAGGUUGAGUUUGG